Molecule: unclassified non-coding RNA, 1147 nt
Filed under: Caenorhabditis elegans
Lineage: Eukaryota; Metazoa; Nematoda; Chromadorea; Rhabditida; Rhabditidae
Description: Non-coding transcript of protein-coding gene dmsr-14
Source: RNAcentral
AUGGUGGAUGAACUAAAUUGCACACAGUUUUCAAUACCAUUUCCAAACCCGGGCACGGAUGAAGCAAACAAUAUAUCACUAAUUCGAUUUAUUAUUUUUGCCGUAGAGCAUUAUCGCCCGUAUCACUAUUAUCUACUUAGCUCAUUAAUUGUUUUCUCAUUUUUUGCAAAUAUUCUGAUUGUUAUAGUGUUAUCUCACAAGGAAAUGAGACACUCUGGAAUUAAUGUGAUAAUGAUGUUUAUUGCUGUUAGUGAUUUCGGAUGUGCAGUUACUGGUUUGAUGCAAUUAUUUAUAAGAAAUUAUUCAGACCAAUACAUGUUAUUUAUAACUGCGUACUUACAAUUGUUUGUAGAUUAUUUGGCCGUAGUAUUUCAUGCUUCUUCUCUCUUUCUAGCGGCUGGCAUGGCGCUCUGCAGAGUCAUGGCUUUAAAUUUUUCAAACAGAUUGAAUUUCAAAGCCGCGCUCUAUUUUGAAGCUGUAAGGAAACAUGGUCAACUAGAUUUUACUAGCCAUUGUCUUACUCCAACCUUAUAGAGAUAAGUGGCAAUCUCCAAGAUAUGCUUUACGUGUCACUUGUGCAGUGUAUAUAACUGUUUUAACAGUUUCAACACUUAUCGUUCCCGUAAAUGAAGUUAAAAAAACCGACGAUGGUGAAGUAUAUAUUGAUACUUCAGAUUUUUCAUUGGCUUAUGGGUGUUUACUAAUGAAAAUAGUUCUUGUUUUUGUUGGAAUAUGUUUCAAGCUUAUUCCAUGCACUCUAAUGCUGAUUCUAUCAAUACUACUACUUCAAAAAAUGGACGAGGGGAAACGGAGCAGUGUACCAAUUAAUAGAAAUCAUAAAAAAGACCAAUUAGAUCGCUCAUCGCAACUGAUUCAAACAAUAUUAAUCGUUUUUCUAAUUACUGAAGUGCCUCAAGGAGUAUUCAGCAUUAUUGGAGGGAUUGAAGUCAUUGAUUAUUUAAAUUACUAUCAGAAUUUAACAAUUUUUAUGAACGUGCUGUCUUUUUUCAACACAACCACCAGUUUCAUAAUCUAUAGCUCUUUGUCAGCAAAAUUUCGAAGGAUAUUCGCCCAAACAUUCUUACCGAAAAACUUACUUAAUAUGUACAUGGUAACAGUAGCACAUUUUUCAAAAAUUAAUUUUUAA